Molecule: ribosomal RNA, 497 nt
Filed under: uncultured bacterium
Lineage: Bacteria
Description: partial 16S ribosomal RNA
Rfam family: Bacterial small subunit ribosomal RNA
Source: RNAcentral
GAUGAACGCUGGCGGCGUGCCUAAUACAUGCAAGUCGAGCGAACGGACGAGAAGCUUGCUUCUCUGAUGUUAGCGGCGGACGGGUGAGUAACACGUGGAUAACCUACCUAUAAGACUGGGAUAACUUCGGGAAACCGGAGCUAAUACCGGAUAAUAUUUUGAACCGCAUGGUUCAAAAGUGAAAGACGGUCUUGCUGUCACUUAUAGAUGGAUCCGCGCUGCAUUAGCUAGUUGGUAAGGUAACGGCUUACCAAGGCAACGAUGCAUAGCCGACCUGAGAGGGGGAUCGGCCACACUGGAACUGAGACACGGUCCAGACUCCUACGGGAGGGAGCAGUAGGGAAUCUUCCGCAAUGGGCGAAAGCCUGACGGAGCAACGCCGCGUGAGUGAUGGAGGUCUUCGGAUCGUAAAACUCUGUUAUUAGUUAAGAACAUAUGUGUAAGUAACUGUGCACAUCUUGACGGUACCUAAUCAGAAAGCCACGGCUAACUACGUG